Molecule: ribosomal RNA, 650 nt
Filed under: uncultured bacterium
Lineage: Bacteria
Description: bacterial SSU rRNA
Rfam family: Bacterial small subunit ribosomal RNA
Source: RNAcentral
UGGGAUCGUGACGGCGGACGGGUUAGUACGCGUGGGAACGUGCCCAGAUCUAAGGAAUAGCCACUGGAAACGGUGAGUAAUACCUUAUACGCCCUUCGGGGGAAAGAUUUAUCGGAUUUGGAUCGGCCCGCGUUAGAUUAGGUAGUUGGUGGGGUAAUGGCCUACCAAGCCUACGAUCUAUAGCUGGUUUUAGAGGAUGAUCAGCAACACUGGGACUGAGACACGGCCCAGACUCCUACGGGAGGCAGCAGUGGGGAAUCUUAGACAAUGGGGGAAACCCUGAUCUAGCCAUGCCGCGUGAGUGACGAAGGCCCUAGGGUCGUAAAGCUCUUUCGCCAGGGAUGAUAAUGACAGUACCUGGUAAAGAAACCCCGGCUAACUCCGUGCCAGCAGCCGCGGUAAUACGGAGGGGGUUAGCGUUGUUCGGAAUUACUGGGCGUAAAGCGUACGUAGGCGGACUGGAAAGUUGGGGGUGAAAUCCCAGGGCUCAACCCUGGAACUGCCUCCAAAACUAUCAGUCUAGAGUUCGAGAGAGGUGAGUGGAACUCCGAGUGUAGAGGUGAAAUUCGUAGAUAUUCGGAAGAACACCAGUGGCGAAGGCGGCUCACUGGCUCGAUACUGACGCUGAAGUACGAAAGUGUGGGGAGCAA